RNAcentral lists this ribosomal RNA (492 nucleotides) under uncultured bacterium. Its description in RNAcentral is "partial 16S ribosomal RNA". It matches the Rfam family "Bacterial small subunit ribosomal RNA", at positions 30 to 507 of the family's 1533-position model. The record is from RNAcentral.
AUUGAACGCUGGCGGCAUGCUUUACACAUGCAAGUCGAACGGUAACAGGCCUUCGGGUGCUGACGAGUGGCGAACGGGUGAGUAAUGCAUCGGAACGUGCCCAGAGGUGGGGGAUAACGCAGCGAAAGCUGUGCUAAUACCGCAUGUGAUCUGAGGAUGAAAGCGGGGGACCAGGCAGCAAUGUUUGGCCUCGCGCCUUUGGAGCGGCCGAUGUCAGAUUAGGUAGUUGGUGGGGUAAAGGCCUACCAAGCCGACGAUCUGUAGCUGGUCUGAGAGGACGACCAGCCACACUGGGACUGAGACACGGCCCAGACUCCUACGGGAGGCAGCAGUGGGGAAUUUUGGACAAUGGGCGCAAGCCUGAUCCAGCAAUGCCGCGUGCGGGAAGAAGGCCUUCGGGUUGUAAACCGCUUUUGUACGGAACGAAAAGGCUCUGGCAAAUACCUGGGGCUGAUGACGGUACCGUAAGAAUAAGCACCGGCUAACUACGUG